Molecule: ribosomal RNA, 498 nt
Filed under: uncultured bacterium
Lineage: Bacteria
Description: partial 16S ribosomal RNA
Rfam family: Bacterial small subunit ribosomal RNA
Source: RNAcentral
GACGAACGCUGGCGGCGUGCCUAAUACAUGCAAGUCGAGCGGACGGAUGGGAGCUUGCUCCCAGACCGUCAGCGGCGGACGGGUGAGUAACACGUGGGCAACCUGCCUGUAAGACUGGGAUAACUCCGGGAAACCGGGGCUAAUACCGGAUAACUCUUUCCCUCACAUGAGGGAAAGCUGAAAGAUGGCAUCUCGCUAUCACUUACAGAUGGGCCCGCGGCGCAUUAGCUAGUUGGUGAGGUAAAGGCUCACCAAGGCGACGAUGCGUAGCCGACCUGAGAGGGUGAUCGGCCACACUGGGACUGAGACACGGCCCAGACUCCUACGGGAGGCAGCAGUAGGGAAUCUUCCGCAAUGGACGAAAGUCUGACGGAGCAACGCCGCGUGAGUGAUGAAGGUUUUCGGAUCGUAAAACUCUGUUGUCAGGGAAGAACAAGUACCGGAGUAACUGCCGGUACCUUGACGGUACCUGACCAGAAAGCCACGGCUAACUACGUG